UACGUAGGGUGCAAGCGUUGUCCGGAAUUAUUGGGCGUAAAGAGCUCGUAGGCGGUCUGUCGCGUCUGCUGUGAAAACUCGGGGCUUAACCCCAGGCCUGCAGUGGGUACGGGCAGACUAGAGUGCGGUAGGGGAGACUGGAAUUCCUGGUGUAGCGGUGAAAUGCGCAGAUAUCAGGAGGAACACCGGUGGCGAAGGCGGGUCUCUGGAACGGUACUGACGCUGAGACGCGAAAGCGUGGGGAGCGAACAGG
Molecule: ribosomal RNA, 253 nt
Filed under: uncultured bacterium
Lineage: Bacteria
Description: partial 16S ribosomal RNA
Rfam family: Bacterial small subunit ribosomal RNA
Source: RNAcentral